AGGUCACAAGAUUGCGCCAACCCUUACAUGGUCCUUAAAAAAAAAACCUUCUGACACUGCAGUAGUGAAAAUGAAGCGCACGAUGGGCGGAAGCUGUGAGUCCGGCAAAGUUUUAAAAUGAUGACGUAUUUUAUUAACUCUAACGGCACUGGCGGGUGACUGAAAAUACUAGUGCUGUGUAUGCGGGAUAGACAUUAUUUUCCUGCCCUACAUGAGGGGCUCGUGCGCGGAACGACAUGGGCAGCCCCGGCGGAAACUGCAGGCACAAGCCGGGACGCCGCGGGUUUAAAACAUGCGCGUGAGAGGAAGACAAACAUAAAGAUGAAGUGCUUAAUUCAAGGUCACACAAUGUCGGGGAUGGACCUCCAGAUUUCCUUACUGGAAAACAAGCUCAGGGCUCCCACUGAUUGUACAUUAUGACCAAGUGUGUUGGGGACUUGAGAUGCGUACAUGAGUGUGAUGUUUCCUGCUGAAAGCACAGGUGAGACGUGGUCUUGUAACACAGUGGUUAAGAAUGUGACUUUGGAGCCAGCCUGCUAGGGGCUGAAUUCUGACUCAGCCAUUUACUAACUGUGUGACCUUAGGUAAGUCAUUUACCUUCUUUGUCCCUCAGUUUCAUCUCGGUUAAGUAGGGAUAAUGAUAGCACCUAUUUUAUAGGGUUAUUGUGAGGAAUAAAUCCAAGUAAAAUGCUUAGAAUAGUAACUGAAACAUAGCACUCAUUAGGAAUGCUUUAAUUUUCAUUUAUUUGAGUAUUAAAGGUUGAAUUUUCAGAGGUAUUUUGGACCUUUGUAUUUUUUCUUUAAAUCACUUAUUCAUGACUUUUGAACUUUUUUUUUUCUUUUAGAGACAGGGUCUUGGUUUGUUGUCUAGGCUGGAAUGCAGUGGUGCAAUCAUAGCUCACUGUAGCCUUGAACUCUUGGGCUCAAGAGAUCCUCCUGCCUCAGCCUCGUGAGUAGCUGGGCCUACAGGCGCCUGCUACCACACCUGGCUAAUUUUUUAUUUUUUGUAGAGAUGGGUUCUUGCAGCCCAGACUGGUCUUGAGCUUUGGCCUGAAGUGCUCCUCCUGCCUUGGCCUCUCAAAGCAUUGGGGUUACAGGUGUGAAGCACUGCACCUUGCCUACACAUUUUUUCCAAUAAUUUUUUUUAUUAAUUUGUAAGAGUUAACAUGUCGACUAUCAUAUAUAACAUAGAAUUGUUCCCAUUUUGUCAUUUCCUUUCAACUUUGUCUAUGUAGCUUUUUUUCUGUGUGCAAAUUUUACAUUUUUAGGUAGUCAGAAAAUCUCUUCCCUUGUAAUUUUUUCUGCUACUAGACCAAUGUUUAGAAAAAAGCGUGCUUCCCCACCUCAAAAUUAUAAAAAUAGUUACUUGUUCUUUUUGAGUACUGUGUGUGUUUAAAUCUUUAAUCUUUAAAUUUAAAUCUUUGAUCCAUCUGGUAUUUAUUUUGAUAUGAAGAGAGUGGUUGGGAUCUGGCUGUAUUUCUUUUUUCUUUUUUUUUCUUUUUUCUUUUUUUGACGAAGUCUCACUGUUGCUCAGGCUGGAGUGCAAUGGCAUGAUCUCGGCUCAUCACAACCUCUGCUUCCUGGGUUCAAGCGAUUCUCCUGCCUCAGCCUCCCGAGUACCUGGGACUACAGGCACUCGCCACCAUGCCCGGCUGAUUUUUGUAUUUUUAAUAGAGAUGGUUUCACUAUGUUGGCCAGGCUGGUCUCGAACUCCUGACCUUGUGAUCUGCCCACCUCAGCCUCGAAAAGUGCUGGGAUUACAGGCGUGAGCCACUGCGCCCAGCCUUGUAUUUUUUUUCAGUUUGGGUAGCUGUCCCUAAUUCAUUUGUUAAAGGAGAAGCAAGAGCAAGAACCUUUAAUCUGUUCUCCUCUUCCCUAAUUUGAAAGUAGCUUGUUAUUUUGAAUAUCACUUUCUCUGAAAUAGCACAUCUCCAUCUCAGAGAAUGGAUUUAAUGUUUGGAUACAGCCAAAAGUCAUUUCAUUACCAAACCAUGGGGUGAAUAUACCAUGUAAAGCAGUUUGGGAUCAGAACUCACAGUCUGAAUUGUAAGUGAUGAGACUGCUGUCUCUCUGCUACAGCUUCUUGGCUGGCUCUGAAGGCUCUUUGAAGGCAGAUCCUAACAAGGGGACUGCUUUGAAGGGCCAUUGUUCAUUUGGAAUGAUAAAGUCUAUGUUGUUCAAAAAACAAAUGCUUGUAGCAGGUAUUUUUUCACUCCAGACUGAGAAUAUUGGUGGGAUAUUGAUAAGGGGUACUGAAUGGUAAUAAACAUGUGCUCUAGCUCUGUGCUAGUCAGCUUAUUUCAGAACUCUAGUUUGAUUCAGUUUCUUGCCUCUGACUCAAAAUGGAGGGAGAGUGAUUUUUACAUAAGAGAACACACCCACAUAUCCUUUUGGCAGCAGCUACCUGCCAGAGAUGUUGAAGAAGAGUAGCCAACCUUUACACAGCAGAUAUUGUGUGCCAGUCAUAGUCCUAAGUAUAAUACCUUACAUGUAUAAACUUCUUAUAAGGUUGGUGCUCUGUACCGAAUUGAAUAGUAUCCCCCAAAAUUCAUGUUGUCCCAGAACCUAUGAAAGUGAUCUUACUUGAGGGAGGGGGGAGGGGGGAGGGAUAGCAUUAGGAGAUAUACCUAAUGCUAAAUGACGAGUUAAUGGGUGUAGCACACCAGCAUGGCACAUGUAUACAUAUGUAACUAACCUGCACAUUGUGCACAUGUACCCUAAAACUUAAAGUAUAAUAAUAAUAAAAUAAAAAAAAAAAAGAAAGUGAUCUUACUUGGAAAUAAGGUCUUUGCACAUAUGAUCAAGUUGAGAUGAAGUUGUACUGGAAAGUCUGUCUAGUGACUGGUGUUGUCAUAAGAAGAGAGGGACACAGAGGGAAGAUGGCCACAUGAAGAUGGAGGCAGAGAUUGCAGUUAUGCUGCUGCAAACUAAGGAAUGGCUCUGGCCCUCCAAGGAUUGCUGAUAACCACCAGAAACUAGAAGAGACAAGGAAGGAUUCUUCCCUAGAGCCUUCAGAGGGAGCAUGGCCCUACUGACACCUGGAUUUCAAACUUGUAGCUUCCUAAACUGCAAGAGAAUAAAUUUCUGUUGUUUUAAGCCA
RNAcentral lists this long non-coding RNA (3100 nucleotides) under Homo sapiens (human). Its description in RNAcentral is "PCBP1 antisense RNA 1, transcript variant 36 (PCBP1-AS1)". Lineage: Eukaryota; Metazoa; Chordata; Mammalia; Primates; Hominidae. The record is from RNAcentral.